UACGUAGGGGGCUAGCGUUGUCCGGAAUCAUUGGGCGUAAAGCGCGCGUAGGCGGCCCGGUAAGUCCGCUGUAAAAGUCAAAGGCUCAACCUUUGAAUGUCAGUGGAUACUGCCGGGCUAGAGUCCGGAAGAGGAGAGUGGAAUUCCCGGUGUAGCGGUGAAAUGCGCAGAUAUCGGGAAGAACACCCGUGGCGAAGGCGGCUCUCUGGGACGGUACUGACGCUGAGACGCGAAAGCGUGGGGAGCGAACAGG
This 253-nucleotide ribosomal RNA is filed under the name uncultured bacterium. RNAcentral's name for it is "partial 16S ribosomal RNA". It matches the Rfam family "Bacterial small subunit ribosomal RNA", at positions 524 to 776 of the family's 1533-position model. The record is from RNAcentral.